UGGGAUUACAGGCGUGAGCCACUGCACCCAACCCCGAUAACUUUUUCUGUGUAAGGGCGUAGGUACUUUAAAUGCAAAGUGAGAAAUGCAGUAUUACCAGGGCAGAAAAACAUGCUCUGUGAACUUAUGUGAAUUCAUUAUUCCUUACUUACAAUGAUUGUUCACAUCCCUGUAGUAAAGAAACUUCUCUACUUACAACUUCCCAUAGGUAGCAAUAAAGGUCCCAGGCACAGCAGAAGCAUGGCAAUGAAGAAUACCACCAACAGAGGACAUCAGAACUUACUUUAGGCCACCAUUAGGUUUUCUUAGCCUGUGUUGUGUUUUGUGUGCAUAUUUUCAUAAUGUUUUAUAAAUAUUAUUAUUAACACCGCUAUGUUCAAAAGUACAAAAGAGUCAAAAAAGUGUUCCUUUAAGAAAAGACAUGCGAUUACUACGGCAACAAAAGAGAACUUAUUGUAGAAGGGUGUACAUUGUAUAUAUUGGUCACUUUUGUAUGUCAUUUUGGACUUAAAAGGAAAUGAAUUUCCAAACAGCCCUUGAGAACCAAUUCUCUUUGUAGAGAAAGGAGGUUGUAUGUUGUCUAUAAAUUAUAGGAUCAUAGACUCUUUUUGUUUGUUUUUUGAGUUAGAGUCUCACUGUCACCCAGGUAAAAGAGUAAUUCUCUGUAAAACAUCUUUGUGCAAGUACUGUUGAUUGUCCCCAUAUAUUUUCCAUUUUUUCUUGUGGCAAUAGAACUCAUAAUUUUCAGUUGGGUAUGUAGAUGCCUGAAGGAAAGAAUAUAUUUCUUAGCCUCACAUAGAUGUAAAUAUAAUCAUGGGACAAAGUUCUGGUGAAGGAACUAUCAGGGGAUACAUUUCAUGACAGUUUCUGAAAGAUUUUCUCACAACACUGCUGGCACACGCCCUCUCUGUGCCUCCUUCCUUCUUCCAUGUUGCUGGGGGCUGGAACUCAGAUGUGUUGGCUGGAGCUGAAGCAGACAUAUUGGACCAUGUGGUGACAACGAGAAUUGAGGCCACCAUGGCAGGACAAGGUAAAGGAGGACUUCGGACUUAGUGAAGCAGAAUAGCGGAAGGAGGCCUGAUCUACCUAGUUCUGGGCUUGUACAUGAGAGAGACCUACAUUUCUCUAUUGUUUAAGCUAUUGUUACAGUUUGUCCUAUUAGCAGAUGAAUCAGAUUAAAAAAUGAUGGAAAUUUGUGAAGCAGCCCAUGCCACUUAAUAACAACUCUAACGUUUACAUUUUCCUUACUCAGAGUAAGCUCCACUGUAACACUUGCCCAUAGUUCUCUUCUACAAUCUUACUUAAUUAAGUGUGCUGUGUCCUUUACCCACCCUCCCCAGAUGCAUGAAGAAGCUGUCCUGUAUUUUCAUGUUAUCUUCUUACUGAACAUUCUAGAUUCUUUCAAAUAUUUGUCAUAUAACCAUCGCUAUACCUUUCACAAUCUUGGUUGCCCUGCUGUCAAUGUAUUAUGAUUUUUCAGUGUUCUCAUCAUACGUGAUGCUCAUAAGUCAAUAUGACUGCAGAUGUGGUUUAACUAGUGAAGAGAUUAAUGGAACAUUUGUGAAUUUCAUUAAUGCAAUCUAAUACUGUAUUGCCUCGUACAGUAAGCCACACCAGAUCAUACUGGAGAUUAAUACAGUCCUUGUGGUUAUUUAAAAUCCCAAUUUGUUUUUCAUAUAAAGCGCCACAAAGUCAGAUGUUCCUCAGCCUAUAUUUGUACAAAAGACUUUAAAAAUCUUAAAGGCAGGACAUCUUGCUUGUUCUUGUUAAAUUUUAUUUUAAUUUUUUUAUUUUGGUACAGUAUCCCAGUCUGUUAUAAUCUUAUUUUGAGUCUUGAUUUUGAUCUUUCAGUGUGUUGACUCCCAUUCUCACCUUUGUGUCAUUUGAAAAAUUAAUAAGUGCACAAUGUAUAUGCUUAUCUAGAAAAAUGACAAAAAUCUGGGUCAAAGUACAGGCAAGGAGGCACCACUUUUAGGGGGCACUAUUUAUGGAGGGUUGUGAAAUGAAGUAGAACUGAAUUCACUCUGUGGUUAGCACCACAAAACACUUCUCAAAUUGACAGUUUAACACAACAUUCCUCCUUGGGCAU
Homo sapiens (human) is the source of this 2089-nucleotide long non-coding RNA. NCBI's taxonomy places the organism in Eukaryota, Metazoa, Chordata, Mammalia, Primates, Hominidae. The record is from Ensembl.